UAACCGAGCAAAAAUACCUAAGGAGUGUCUCUACGGUAUUGAGCCUAAGUCUUUAGAUGACUUACAGGGUUGAGCGAGAAAUCAAUCAGCCUUCCACAUUUGAAAAGGUGAAGUUA
RNAcentral lists this non-coding RNA (116 nucleotides) under uncultured Turicibacter sp. RNAcentral's name for it is "Moco (molybdenum cofactor) riboswitch". It matches the Rfam family "Molybdenum/Tungsten riboswitch aptamer (Moco RNA motif)", at positions 14 to 118 of the family's 135-position model. The record is from RNAcentral. Lineage: Bacteria; Bacillati; Bacillota; Erysipelotrichia; Erysipelotrichales; Turicibacteraceae.